AGACAUAAAUCAGUUUCAAAUUUCGACUUGAAUUGAAUAAUUUAGUGGGACCAAUUUUGUUCGGGUGUGGAAAAUUGAGUCGACAAAUUUUCCGCACCCGCACGAUGCAAAUUUAUCUACGCCUUAUUACUACAGAAAGUCCAAAUCAACAAAUGCUUGCUUGAAAAUCAUACUCGGACGGGAGACCCAAACAGUUAACGAAGAAAAAAUCUUUGCAGCUGCGGCAACAACAGAAAAAAAGUUGCUGCUCUGAACUGCUAACCGGCUUUAUUUUCAUGUAAUUAGUGUGCAGCCAACAAUUAGCGUCAAUUAAGCAACACCCUAGAAUGCCUCCCUCCAAAGGGGGCAUCAUCCGACCGAUCGAACCUUUGUGGAGGCGAAUUUCUUGUCAAAAAUUCCGAAGAAACCAACGAGACCCAAAUUUUUUUCUGCAACGAGUACGACAUUUUGGAAACGGUUAUUCACAACGUCUUUAUUCAAAAAUACGGCAUACUUUUUGUGACUUGUGCACGCAGUUUAAGCUCUUUGGAUUGGUUUAAACAUGACGCGCGUGAUCAAGUAUUUCCUCAAAUUCUACAGUCGAUUUCAAAAUUUCCGUUUUAGGGAUUUCAGUUGAGAGUAGUCAAAAGUGACGAAUUCUAGAUCGAUAUUUUAAAUUUUUUACGUACAUUUAUCAACUUUAGGCCGCGAAUACUUGUCUGGUGGAAUGUUUUUCUAUUUUUUCAUUUAAAAAAAUUACUUUUCCAAAAGCUUUUGUGGGGGGAUUGCGUGCGCCCCUGAAGUCUGCUGCAUUAUUCGACGAAACUGUUAAUGGACGUGAUCUAAUAUGCGAUUUGAUAGUAUGAAGUAUACGAGAUUAGAGGAUUUAGAGAUAUAAUGUUAGCACUGAGAAUAGCGAAUUUCUUUAAGAGAUAUAUAUAUAAAUAUUAUUAACGGGUUAAUGAAUAUUUCAUUUUUCUAGAAUUAAAAUGAAACUAGCAAAAGAUAAAAUUCCGAUUGAAAUUCGGUGUAGCUUAGAAUAUCGUUUGGCAGUUAUAAAGCCAAUGUCAGUUUCGGGUAGCAAUAAAAAAAUAGCAAAAAAGAUAACUUGAAAAUAUAAAACAUAUUUUUAUAUUUUA
Long non-coding RNA from Hermetia illucens (black soldier fly), 1118 nucleotides. RefSeq lists it as uncharacterized. Lineage: Eukaryota; Metazoa; Arthropoda; Insecta; Diptera; Stratiomyidae. The record is from RefSeq and is a predicted model, not a curated record. The transcript has 2 exons.